Molecule: ribosomal RNA, 265 nt
Filed under: uncultured Streptococcaceae bacterium
Lineage: Bacteria; Bacillati; Bacillota; Bacilli; Lactobacillales; Streptococcaceae
Description: partial 16S ribosomal RNA
Rfam family: Bacterial small subunit ribosomal RNA
Source: RNAcentral
GGUCCCGAGCGUUAUCCGGAUUUAUUGGGCGUAAAGCGAGCGCAGGCGGUUAGAUAAGUCUGAAGUUAAAGGCUGUGGCUUAACCAUAGUACGCUUUGGAAACUGUUUAACUUGAGUGCAGAAGGGGAGAGUGGAAUUCCAUGUGUAGCGGUGAAACGCGUAGAUAUAUGGAGGAACACCGGUGGCGAAAGCGGCUCUCUGGUCUGUAACUGACGCUGAGGCUCGAAAGCGUGGGGAGCAAACAGGAUUAGAUACCCUGGUAGUC